CCACGCCCGCUCAAGAACUACAAAGGAAGUUGACGGGGGCCCGCACAAGCGGUGGAGUAUGUGGUUUAAUUCGAUGCAACGCGAAGAACCUUACCUGGUCUUGACAUCCCGGAGACCCUUAGGAAACUAGGGGGUGCUUCCAUCUGGAAGAAUCUGGAGACAGGUGCUGCAUGGCUGUCGUCAGCUCGUGUCGUGAGAUGUUGGGUUAAGUCCCGCAACGAGCGCAACCCUUGCCUUUAGUUGCCAGCAGUUCGGCUGGGCACUCUAAAGGGACUGCCGGUGUUAAACCGGAGGAAGGUGGGGAUGACGUCAAGUCCUCAUGGCCUUUAUGACCAGGGCUACACACGUACUACAAUGGCCGAUACAAAGGGCAGCGACACUGCGAGGUGAAGCCAAUCCCGUAAAAUCGGUCUCAGUCCGGAUUGGAGUCUGCAACUCGACUCCAUGAAGUUGGAAUCGCUAGUAAUCGUGGAUCAGCAUGCCACGGUGAAUACGUUCCCGGGCCUU
This 507-nucleotide ribosomal RNA is filed under the name uncultured Desulfobulbus sp. RNAcentral's name for it is "bacterial SSU rRNA". It matches the Rfam family "Bacterial small subunit ribosomal RNA", at positions 903 to 1382 of the family's 1533-position model. Lineage: Bacteria; Pseudomonadati; Thermodesulfobacteriota; Desulfobulbia; Desulfobulbales; Desulfobulbaceae. The record is from RNAcentral.